RNAcentral lists this ribosomal RNA (304 nucleotides) under uncultured bacterium. RNAcentral's name for it is "partial 16S ribosomal RNA". It matches the Rfam family "Bacterial small subunit ribosomal RNA", at positions 506 to 807 of the family's 1533-position model. The record is from RNAcentral.
CAGCAGCAGCCGCGGUAAUACCGAGGGUGCGAGCGUUAAUCGGAUUUACUGGGCGUAAAGCGUGCGUAGGCGGCUUCUUAAGUCGGAUGUGAAAUCCCUGAGCUUAACUUAGGAAUUGCAUUCGAUACUGGGAAGCUAGAGUAUGGGAGAGGAUGGUAGAAUUCCAGGUGUAGCGGUGAAAUGCGUAGAGAUCUGGAGGAAUACCGAUGGCGAAGGCAGCCAUCUGGCCUAAUACUGACGCUGAGGUACGAAAGCAUGGGGAGCAAACAGGAUUAGAUACCCGUGUAGUCCCUGUCUCUUAUAC